Non-coding RNA from Hydra vulgaris (swiftwater hydra), 686 nucleotides. The record is from RefSeq and is a predicted model, not a curated record. NCBI's taxonomy places the organism in Eukaryota, Metazoa, Cnidaria, Hydrozoa, Anthoathecata, Hydridae.
UUUUUUCUGGGUGCCAGAUGGGUUCCAUAUGGUGUGAAAAUAAUGCUGCAAAUAAAAUCUGGGUUUUUACUGGGAUUGGCAUGGAGCUUCUGUAAAUGGUUUACAGCUGGUUUGAAGAUGGGACGCGUGUUUGAAUAAUCAUGAAUGUUUAAAUAAUCAUGAAUGUUUUUUAUUUUUCACUUGCUAUAAGUUGGUUUGUGUUUAACAACAGAAAAUAUAUUACUUCAUCAAAUGUUAGUUUUUUACACAUAAAAGUUAUGUAAAAUCUCCUACGAAAUGGUUCUUAAUAUAAUUCCCUGCAGGAUUCCUGUCACAAAUAAAAACUGAAGAAACUUUAAAACUAGAUGAUGGCAUCUAAAGAAGUUGAAAUACCAUUAUUCAUGGUGUCAUAUCGAGGCUUCAGUUCUCUGUGUUUGUUAGUUAUAUGCAAGAUAUGGCAUGGUAUGGCAUGCUGCAUGAAAUUAGUGUUAAAAUGGAUGAAAUCACUAAAGAAGCAAAACGAUAAACUUUAAAGCAGAAUUUUGUCAUGCAAUUAUGUUAGUGAUAUGAGAGAACUACUGUGCGAUUAUGGUGGCGAUAUGAGAGAACUACGGUGAUAGAAUAUUACUAUCGUAGAAUAGUUUUGCAUCAAAUCAUUGUAUAAUAUUAGUUUUUUGUUAUAUUAUGAAUAUGAUAUUAUGAAUGAA